RNAcentral lists this long non-coding RNA (694 nucleotides) under Nicotiana benthamiana. Its description in RNAcentral is "long non-coding RNA (NBEN_LNC014833)". Lineage: Eukaryota; Viridiplantae; Streptophyta; Magnoliopsida; Solanales; Solanaceae. The record is from RNAcentral.
ACAGAAGAGGCAGAUUUGAAAGGAAAAGAAGUUUCAUGAAAGACAACAUCCCUGGACACAAAACACUUUUUGGAACUAAGAUCAUUUAGUUUAUAACCCUUUUUGGCAAAAGGAUACCCUAGGAAAACACAAGAAAUGGCCCUAGGCUUUAACUUGUCCAUUUGAGGAAUGGGGACAGUAGCAUAGGCAAGGCAGCCAAAAGCCUUCAAAUGAGAGUAAGUGGGUGCCUUACCAUGCAAGAUUUCAUAAGGGGAUUUACCAUGAAGGAGCCUGGAGGGUAUUCUGUUAAUAAGAUAGGUAGCAGUUAAUAGAUUAGAGUUUGAUGAACCCUUUUUGGCAAAAGGAUACCCUAGGAAAACACAAGAAAUGGCCCUAGGCUUUAACUUGUCCAUUUGAGGAAUGGGGACAGUAGCAUAGGCAAGGCAGCCAAAAGCCUUCAAAUGAGAGUAAGUGGGUGCCUUACCAUGCAAGAUUUCAUAAGGGGAUUUACCAUGAAGGAGCCUGGAGGGUAUUCUAUUAAUAAGAUAGGUAGCAGUUAAUAGACAAUCACCCCAGAAAGAAAUAGGUAAACCAGACUGGAAAAGUAAAGCUCUACAGGUUUCAAGAAAAGUUCUAUGUUUCCUCUCAACAACACCAUUCUGUUGGGGAGUAUGUGGGCAAGUGGUUUGGUGUAUGAUGCCAUGUUGGUUAAAAA